This 2532-nucleotide long non-coding RNA is filed under the name Hordeum vulgare. RNAcentral describes it as "long non-coding RNA (HVUL_LNC019544)". The record is from RNAcentral. Lineage: Eukaryota; Viridiplantae; Streptophyta; Magnoliopsida; Poales; Poaceae.
UCUCUUUAAUGCCAUACUGGUACUUCAUUUGUGUCAUCUGAAGGUAGGUUGUUACCGAGCUUUAUCAUCUUAGAGAUCCAUGCAUUCUCUAAGAACACACUUCCACCUGACCUUACUUGUAGAUGCUCAGCAGCAGUCAUGCAAUUUAUAUACGCGCCUAUGGCCUACAAUUUAAAAUAUACAUAAUAUAUUAGCUGACACAUACUCACAAUCAAAUAACGUAUUAUUGUCAUAAUGCAAUAUUAUUCUACUUACUUCAUCGCCAAUCCAUUGUCCGAUAGUUAAAAGAGAUAGUAAAUGUAUUUUUCUCAAUAUGCGUCGUCGAUGCUCACCAAAUGUCGCUCUUCGAUUGGUUCAGAUCUUAUAGUUUCUAUGGCCGACCAAACAUCGCUAGUGCACGCAUAAUCUGUCCUGAUGGCCAUGAUAACAUUUAAUUAUAAUGAACAAAAGAACAAUAGUUUAACAGUACAAGGACAUCGAAGGUUUUGUUCUGUGCCUUGUGGAGAAACAAUGUAGUCUUGUGCCUUCUUAGGCUUGUUAUGUCGUCGUAUAUGGUUCUUUAUAUGCACGGGCUGUCUUAGCUCGUUCUCUAUAGUUUCAAGUCCUUUCGUGCCGGGUGUUUGUACCAAUUCCUUGUCCUUAGGUGCCACCAUUUGUUGACUUGUUUCAUUGUUGGUUAAUUUCCGAGGACAAAAUUCAAAGAAUUAUCCCUAUGUAGGAUAUAACACAUAAAAAUUAUUUUGGAAGAUAUAGUUUGAAAAGCAAACUCACUUGUGUAUGUUCAGAAUCUUUGGCCUCUCUUUUUUCUAUGUUUUCUUCAAGAAGAGGUGUAUAUUCUAGGCUCUCCAUGCAAUUAUUUUCCUCCACUUCACUAUCGUUGAGUAUUUCACCUGAUUUGUCAUUGCUUAGUACGUGAUACACACGGUAAUAUAAUAUUAUAACAUAUAUUUUUUAUGUGAUAUUGUACUAAAAAAUUACAGUCUGAUUUGUGGCAUUAGAAUUAGAAUAGUAAUGCCAUGUGGAAAGAAAACUCGUCUUUGUUAAUUCGGGGAUUCUAUCUCCAUCCUUGGUUAUGACAUCUUCAAAAAGCAUGUUUUGUGGACCCUCCGUAAUGGAUUGUUGUGCGGCCUUUCCAGACUCCGGAUUUGUAUCCUUUUGUAUUGUUAUCACCUCUUCAAAUCUGCAUAUUUUCGGUAUCCUCCAUAAUAGAAUAUCCUUGUAUCACCUCUAUCGACUUAGGGUUGGUAUCCUCGUCUUUCUUUAUCACCUCUUCAACCUGCAUAUUAUUUGUAUCCUCAUCCUUUGCUACCUUGUUGACCUUCUCCUGAAAACCCAAGCAUAACACUUUUAGAAAGUUACCUUGUAUAGGAUGAAAAGAGAUAUAAUAUGUCUUUACCUUGUCAAUAGCAUGCCCAAUAGUACCGGAUCGGGUUGGAGAUUGACCAGCAUUUUGCACCGGGGACGGUGGCGCGGACAUGGAGGAUGAUGGUGCUUCACCAAGGGCGGGGGGUGCGGCGAGGGGGGAGACUUGUUGUGAACGUAUGUUGGGAUGCGACUGAGAGAUCGCGAGGGGGGAUGGAGGAGAGGUCGAAAGUAAUAGUAUCAGGAAAUAUAAUACUCCCUCCGUACCUAAAUAUAAGUCUUUUAAGAUAUUUCACUAGGUGUCUACAUACGGAGCAAAAUGAAUGAAUAUAUACUCUAAAGUAUGUCUAUAUACAUCCGUAUGUAGUCCAUUAGUUGAAUCUCUAGAAAGACUUAUAUUUAGGAACGGAGGGAGUAUAAGGAAGAUCCCCUAAAAAGGCAAUAUAAGGUAGAUGAUGAGAGAAAGGAAACUACUAUCGCCAUAAUUGGGGACUCCUCAUUGAUAUCAUCCCGGAUUUAUCUAAGGCCCCACAAUCUUAUUUUGUGCUCUCUUUUUCAUACCCCACGGGCACAAAAUUAUUUUAGUUAUUUUCGUAGUACAUUCUAUAUGCAGAAAUAUUGGGUUUGGCCCACCUUUAUUUUGUAACAGUGGGCUAUCUAAUUGAGAAAAGGCACACCCUUUAGAUAUUUGAGAAACUUAAUUUCUGUUUCAUUUGAAAGUAAGCUAGUGCAUUAUGGUUGACUCCUUAUACAUCACCUUGCGACUGCAGGGACUACCAACAGGUCUACCUGCUACGUGUUAGUGAUGGCCAAGCCAACCAAGGGGGAGAUUAGUGAAGAGGUGAAGGAGAAGCUGGAAUUGUAACAGUAGGCAUAUCUUAAACUGGUUUGAUGCAUGUUGGAAGACGUAUUCUCACCCACUCCGGUUAUCCGAAAUUUUAGCCUGUUACAUGAUUCAUUCUAGUAUCUGCAUGCCCAUAUAUUCUUUUCUGAAUACUUUAUGCUAUAUUGUUUUGAUUUCAAUAGUAAAAAGACAGCAUGUGAGCUCCUCUGCUAUAGAUCCGGGAACAAUGUAUGUGCACUAUGGUACUAAAAAUGCAUUUUAACUUCAAUAUAUUCCGCAAUAUCAUAGAUUUUUGCAGUUUUAAUUACAAAUAUAUCAAAGAUCAG